CGAAGAGGGGAAAGGUUCCAU
RNAcentral lists this small nuclear RNA (21 nucleotides) under Arabidopsis thaliana (thale cress). RNAcentral's name for it is "snRNA_04368". Lineage: Eukaryota; Viridiplantae; Streptophyta; Magnoliopsida; Brassicales; Brassicaceae. The record is from RNAcentral.